AAAAAAGUCCUCCUCCUCAGAAAUGCCAGCUGAUCCAAAAGAAAAUCCAGUCUAUUCUGAGGUCAAGAUGGGGAAGACCACAGAAACUGCAAAUCCACCUGAGGCAGAUUUGGUCUAUUCUCAAGUGAAGCCAGGCACAUCCCCAGGUCCUUGAGGGAUGGAGGGAUAGCGGGAUGGCAGGGCGCACGCACGCACGCACACAUGCACGCACGCACGCACAAUAACACCUUGUACAUUAAGGAUUUUUUUCUUAUUUUAUUUAUCAACAUAUAUAUUGGAUUUAAGCAUGGUUUGAUUGUGUAUUACUGUAACAGCUUUUGUAUUGUAUGGUGUAAUGAUAACGGAUCUUAUCUGCAGCUACAGUAAUUGUAUCUGCUUUGUAUUGUGUAUUGAAUUGUAUUGUUCUGUUGUAAAUGUAUUACAAUAGAUUAUCUUUGAUUUAUUAUGUCUGUUA
This is a long non-coding RNA of Salvelinus fontinalis (brook trout), 454 nucleotides long. RefSeq lists it as uncharacterized. The transcript is spliced from 3 exons. The record is from RefSeq and is a predicted model, not a curated record. Lineage: Eukaryota; Metazoa; Chordata; Actinopteri; Salmoniformes; Salmonidae.